UAACACGUGGAUAACCUGCCUCAAGGCUGGGGAUAACAUUUGGAAACAGAUGCUAAUACCGAUAAAACUUAGUAUCGCAUGAUAUCAAGUUAAAAGGCGCUACGGCGUCACCUAGAGAUGGAUCCGCGGUGCAUUAGUUAGUUGGUGGGGUAAAGGCUUACCAAGACGAUGAUGCAUAGCCGAGUUGAGAGACUGAUCGGCCACAUUGGGACUGAGACACGGCCCAAACUCCUACGGAAGGCAGCAG
Molecule: ribosomal RNA, 247 nt
Filed under: uncultured bacterium
Lineage: Bacteria
Description: partial 16S ribosomal RNA
Rfam family: Bacterial small subunit ribosomal RNA
Source: RNAcentral